Non-coding RNA from Cherax quadricarinatus, 1818 nucleotides. NCBI's taxonomy places the organism in Eukaryota, Metazoa, Arthropoda, Malacostraca, Decapoda, Parastacidae. The record is from RefSeq and is a predicted model, not a curated record.
CAGUGUGUUCCAGUGAACCAGUGAGUGGGACAGUAGUGGAUUAAGACCCAGAUUUCAGCGGUAUCUAGUGUGGUUGGGUUCACCGCUACACUUAGCCCAGGACAUUAAGGUUCAACAAGUGUGCUCAACAAUAAGUGAGUUUUGCCCUGGAGUGCAGGACCUGCCAAGAACGUGUACUACAAGAGAUUCAGAAGAAUGCAAACCACCAUGAGAGAAAUAAGACUCACGGGAAGAUGAUCGUAGAGAAUGUCAGAGUUUGUAGCAGACUGUGCAGAGCGUACAUUUGUUCUGGAAAUUAUUUAUCAGCGAGUGAUGACUGGAUUUCAGCGGUUUCUAGUGAGGUUGGGUUCACCGCUACACUUAGCCCAGGACAUUAAGGUUCAACAAGUGUGCUCAACAAUAAGUGAGUUUUGCCCUGGAAUGCAGGACCUGCCAAGAACGUGUACUACAACAGAUUCAGAAGAACGCAAACCACCAUGAGAGAAAUAAGACUCACGGGAAGAUGAUCGUAGAGGUAUGCAUUGACAAAUGUUUGUUUAAAUUUGAAAAAGUACACAUUGUACUUUUUCAUACACCAGAGAGAAAUAAGAUACGACUUCAGUACCAGCCUUGGUAUGGGGGUGUUGUGAUCUCAUAUCAGUGACAAAUUUCUCCCAUUCUAUAUGGGACACUUGUCCUCACCUUAUUAUACCCAGUGGGCACAUUAUUAUAGGGGCUCACGAAAUCAUAGUGACACAAUUGCAAACAAACCAUACCACAGGUGGGGCUUGUACCCGCAGUCAGAGAGUCAUAAAACUCCAGACAGACGCGUUAUCCACUGGGCCAGCUGGCACCAUUCAUCAACUUCAUUUUUCCACUUUAUGCAUGUUUCACAUGUUUUGGCAAGAGGUAAGUUACUGAACUCAGGUGAGGGAGUAGGUCUCCCACUCUGCUGGGGCUUUGGUAUGGGCUCCAUCUGACCUGACUUGGAAUAUUUUGUUCCUGUUUCUAUAUGCAAAGGAAAGUCAUGUUUCCUUUCCUGUCAUUGCCCAACUUUGGGUAUUAUUUCUUCUCUGUACAUCAGGAAGCAGAGCUUGAUAAGUGAAAGCUGUGAGUGGCCCUUGUAACCCUCAACAAGAAAAAAACAUAAGACUCAUGGAAAGACAAUCACAGAUUGAUGCACAUUUAAAGCUUAAGAUUUAAUACAGUCAUCAGUAGGGUUGAAGGUGUUUUUGAUUACUAGUUCUCAAAUUUAUUUCUCCACAAUCCAUUCACAUUUUCUUUGCAUUGUAAAUGAUGGAGGUAAUUACCUAGCAACUCAGGAAAUUGUGGUAGAUAUAUAGAAUAUCAAACCAAACAAUCACUGAAUCUCCAUCAAUUUUACAUCGGGUCACAACCCUGGGUUUGGUAGCCCCUGAUGUAGACACAUUGUAGUGAAAUAUAGUUGACCUCAAUUAACCCUUAAACGGUCCAAACGUAUAUAUACGUUCUUACGCGUAGUGCCCCAAACGUAUAUUUUUUUUUUUUUUUUUUCAACAAGUCGGCCGUCUUCCACCGAGGCAGGGUGACCCAAAAAAGAAAGAAAAUCCCCAAAAAGAAAAUACUUUCAUCAUCAUUCAACACUUUCACCACACUCGCACAUUAUCACUGUUUUUGCAGAGGUGCUCAGAAUACAACAGUCUAGAAGCAUACACAUAUAAAGAUACACAACAUAUCCCUCCAAACUGCCAAUAUCCCAAACCCCUCCUUUAAAGUGCAGGCAUUGUACUUCCCAUUUCCAGGACUCAAGUCCGGCUAUAUGAAAAUAACCGGUUUCCCUGAAUCCCUUCACUAAAUAUU